AUAUUUAAAAAAAAAAAUUAUCCUAUGAUAUUUUAGAUCUAAGAUCUAUUAGAUCUAAUUCUUAUUAUCUGAUAUUAAAUCUAAAAUUAAAUCUAAAAUCAUGAGGAAUAGAGAAAUACCUCUAGGGUAACUAGAUUAUCCCGUAGAUGAUUGCAGCAAUGCCCGAGGUUCUAAAAUAGCCACACAGUCGCCUGGCCUCUACCAGUAUCCACUCAAGUAGGAUCUAGAUUAUCUUCUCCUCACAAAUUUUUACUCCAAAAAUUAGAUCUGGAUCUGAUCUGGAAGAUCUUCAAAAGAUCUUCUGAAGCUGGAGCAGCAGCUUCUCGAUAAAUCUCUGCAGCCUUCUAAUCAAAGAGCCACCACGCCUUGGACAAGCAUCAGAUGGAUGCCCAACAUCUUGGAUGUGAAGAGAAAAGGGAGAGAAGUAGAGGGGGCAUGG
RNAcentral lists this long non-coding RNA (439 nucleotides) under Elaeis guineensis (African oil palm). Its description in RNAcentral is "long non-coding RNA (EGUI_LNC049031)". Lineage: Eukaryota; Viridiplantae; Streptophyta; Magnoliopsida; Arecales; Arecaceae. The record is from RNAcentral.